GAAGAUUGCGGCUCUACCCAUUUCAUUGCCCUUCUCUUGCAUCUUGGGCCUAUCGGCAUCGGUGACUGCUUCAACAAUGGUGAUGAGAUGGUACAUUUGGGUCUAUGCAUCGGUGCAGUAUCUUCUGGUUGUUGGCUUUGCUCAUGCCUUCUACUCACAUCUUCAUAUGCAACCGAUCAUGGCUAUAGUCCUGGCCACUUUUGCUGGAUUUGGAAUUACAAUGGGUGUGAGCUCGAUUGGG
Molecule: unclassified non-coding RNA, 241 nt
Filed under: Hevea brasiliensis (rubber tree)
Lineage: Eukaryota; Viridiplantae; Streptophyta; Magnoliopsida; Malpighiales; Euphorbiaceae
Source: RNAcentral